RNAcentral lists this ribosomal RNA (253 nucleotides) under uncultured bacterium. RNAcentral describes it as "partial 16S ribosomal RNA". It matches the Rfam family "Bacterial small subunit ribosomal RNA", at positions 524 to 776 of the family's 1533-position model. The record is from RNAcentral.
UACUGAGGGUGCAAGCGUUAUCCGGAUUCACUGGGUUUAAAGGGUGCGUAGGUGGGUAGGUAAGUCAGUGGUGAAAUCCCCGAGCUUAACUUGGGAACUGCCGUUGAUACUAUCUAUCUUGAAUAUCGCGUAGGUAAGCGGAAUAUGUCAUGUAGCGGUGAAAUGCUUAGAUAUGACAUAGAACACCAAUUGCGAAGGCAGCUUACUUCACGAUUAUUGACACUGAGGCACGAAAGCGUGGGGAGCAAACAGG